AACGAGGCCGACCUGCGGCUGAGUUACCUGCGGAGGGAUCAUUACUGAGUUUUCAACUCUCCAAACCAUGUGAACUUACCACUGUUGCCUCGGUGGACUGGUGCUGUGCUCCCUCUCGGGGGGGUGCGGUGCUGCCGCCGGCGGACAAACUAAACUCUUGUUAAUUUUUGGCAUUCUGAAUCAAAUCAAGAAAUAAGUUAAAACUUUCAGCAAUGGAUCU
This 220-nucleotide unclassified non-coding RNA is filed under the name soil metagenome. RNAcentral describes it as "partial contains 5.8S ribosomal RNA, internal transcribed spacer 2, and large subunit ribosomal RNA". The record is from RNAcentral.